RNAcentral lists this long non-coding RNA (9972 nucleotides) under Homo sapiens (human). RNAcentral's name for it is "HSALNT0381604". The record is from RNAcentral. Lineage: Eukaryota; Metazoa; Chordata; Mammalia; Primates; Hominidae.
ACAGUAUGUGGGAAUUAUGGGAGCUAUAAUUCAAGAUGAGAUUUGGGUGGGACACAGCCAAACCAUAUCACUAGGUAAGAAGAGGGCUCCAUGCUAAGGAACAGGAUAUGCAAAGACCCUGUGGCAGGAGGAACUCUACCUGCUUUUUUGAAGAAUUCCAUAAGGUAGCCUUCAGUGGAGCUGAGUAGAGAGUGGGGGAGAGUGGGCUAAAACAUGAGGGGAGAAGUAGGCAAAAGCUAAAUCUCAUCAGGACCUUAUAGACAAUUGACAGAUGUUUGUCUUUAUCCAGUAAGGUGUUUGUAUGCUCCUUAAGUGGCAGCGGGGAGUGAGCAGAGCAGUGAAGAUAAACAUGAAAGCUGGUGGUAACAAAUUCUGAUACCUCCUCUAUUCCAAAAGGAAAGGCAGAACUCAGAGGCACCAUCCUCCUGUUGUGUUUGCAAGCUGUUGACACAACCUGGAAAGGUUAAAAGUUUUCAACAGACUUGUCAGAGUUUGUGUUCAAUGGAAACUGACAGAGCCUACCGGCUGAGGGGCUAAUUUUAAUAGAAAUAACCUAGGUGCGUUUGUUAAUUUUCUCCGUUCCCUCAAUGACCUGUCUGCAUAGCGUGAAGGUGCUUUGAUGUGACCAGGAGAACAGAAGGAUAUUUUGUGCAUAGCUGACCGUGAGAGGAAUGCUGGUUUUGCAAUGAGGAAGCACAGGAAGAUGACAGAACAAUGAGCAUAAGACAUGCUGGGUGCAUUUUUUGGACCUUACCACAUCUUGUUUGAGAGAAGUGGGACCAAUGCUGAUGAAACUCUUUCCCAUGGUGUGUUCUAUAUUCAUUGGAUGGGCAUCGCCUACGGCUGGAGCAGGGCUGAGCUCUGUACUGGUGUCUCUUAAAACACACCAGACAGCAACAGCUGAGAUACCUACUACCUGGAUCUGCUUGAUUAGAUCAUACGGUCAUAUUUGAUUACUUAGAAUGGGCUUCUGGAGGAUCUGUUGCUGAUUGCACUGAAACCAGAAGUUGUACUUGGCCAAGGACGAGCUAACCCCAAACAGCAAGAGGUUUGAGUUGGCUCCAAAGCACAAGCCUCACAAAUAUCCCGUGAGUCUCCCACAGGCUUGGGGCUCUCUGUUUAGAAUUAGAACCUAAUCUUCAAAUAUCCCUUUACCCUCUUGCCUCAAAAAGGAAGGCAGUGAAGAGCAGCAGCAAGGCAUCCUGGAUGAGCACUGGAAGGGGAGAAUGCUCAUGUUUUAGUCGUGGGCUUUCCACCAGUUAGCUGUGCAGCUUUGGGCAGAUACUUGAACUUCUCUGGUGCUCUGUUUCUUCAUGUUUAAAUGAGAGGAUUAAACUGUAUGACUUUUGGGUCGAAAGUACGUCUCUGCCAUCAGUAUCAUAACAAUUAUUGAAAUUGCUGCCUAGAAUCUUCCGCUACCACAGUGUAUUUUGAUUGGACUGUUUAUUGCCUUAGCAAACACAAUGCAGUGCUGUGUCUUUGGCAUCUUGCCAGGAAAGAUGAGCCAAUUUUCUCGUGUUGCUUCUGGAUGUCAAAACAUUCUCAUCUGACCAUGCCACAGAAGAAGUUUGUUGAGAGUGUGACUGACUGACAUAAUGACUGAUUGGCUGAUAACGGCAGCUGACAGUGAUUGAUUGAGUGUAAAAUUAUCUGUUCUCAUUACUUCUGAAAUUGAAUUCAGAUUGGUUCUAUUGGAGGGUUUCCAUGGAGACCAUAACCUGCUAUAGCAAGUGUUUGUGGAUGCAAUGUUUUAUUGUGAUCAAUACCUGUUUCCUCUGCUGGUCCAAAGAAAUUAUUAAUGAUUAUAGUCAAGUAGAAAGAGGCAACCAUAUAUAAGAAGAAAAAAACUCUCAUAUUUUGUCUCAUUGCUACAUAAAACAAAUGUGGGCCUUCCCAGACUUGCGCUUUGGCUAACUAGUUCAUAAUACGUUCGAUAACUUGCCAUUCUUCUUUUGCUAUUAAUGCAGAGGGUUUGCUUUGGAAAAAAGAAAAGUAUUUCUAGGACUCUUUCUCUCUUUGAAGAAGAUCAGAAUAAUAGACGAAUGUUCAUACUUGGUUUUUUUUUAAAUGCGAUGUUACAGAAACAACAAACAUUUAAUCAAAUCUUAAACACACCCAUGUUAAUGCAGAGACAGAGAUGGUCCCUCAGGCUUUUUCUGGGUUGUUUCCAUGAAUGAUAAAGUCAUUAAACAAUUUCAUAGGCUUGCCUUAUUGAUCUCUCACAAUGGCAUGCUAUGUCUGCUCUUCAGGAAAGCCUUUCCUGACUGCCCCCAUCAGAGUUAAUUACUACUUACUCUGUGUUCGCAUGGCCUUCUUCCAUCUUCUAUUAUAGCAUUCAUCUCAGGCCACCUUGCCUUACAAUUACUUGUAUCUCUUUUUCCCACUAGAUUAUGACCUCCUUGAGGACAGGGUGAUUUUCUUGUUGCUCUUUGUAUUAUCCUCAGCAUCUAGGUGAAUCUCUGAUACAUCACAAGGGUUCAAUAAAUGCUCAUUGAAUUGAAUUAACUGGAUCUGCAUUCCAAGGUCAUCUCUUCCUAGACUGGUGUUGAAUGGGAUUCCCAUGAAGUGAGGCAGCAGAGUGCGUGCUUGCUGGUUCUGUUGCUUUGUCUCCUGCCCUGUGGCUGCGUCUGUGCCCAAGAGGAUUGUUAGGAUAUAUUGUGCUACAGGAGAUUGAUAUUGUAUAGGAUGUCUGUACAGCUUAUAGACUGGUGCUGACCGUACUGAAAUGAUGGUGGGAGGAUACCUAAUAAGGAUUCUAUUUUAUGCUUAGCUGUAUUCAUUCAUUGGUUUGGUUGGAAUCUGCUUCAGCGUACUUCCUCUACCCAAAUUUGGCUCAUUAGCUGAAAUCACUUUGGGAUGAAUCCACUGUUAAUAGUGGCUAACAUUUUUCAUGCACUUACGACAUGUCUGGCACAGUACUAAGUACUUUACAUAUUUUUCAAUUCUUACACAUUGCUCCCAUUAUCCCAUUUUGAAGAUAAGGAGACUGAAGCACAGAGUGUUUAUUUCCUAAGGUCACACAGCUAGGAAGUAGAGGAGCUAGGAUUUGAAUUCCUAUAGUCUAGCUUCCUACCCCAUUCUUAAGCUAUCUACCCUGUUGCCGCCUGACAAAAGUGUGUUUCAAAAUUUAAUUCCUGAACUGACUGCAUCAAAAUCCCCUGUAGUGUUUGUUAAAAGUGAAGAUACCCCAAGACCUACUGAUUCAGGUUGUUUUCACCGAGGCCAGCAAAUCUGCACCAACAUGUUUUAUUCUGUUCUGUACCUCAAGCUUUGAUGCUGCUUUGUUUUCUUGUUUUGGGAGAAGGGCAGGGGUGGGGGUGGAGGCAAGCGAGUCCAAUACUACAACUUUAGAAAUCUCUGCUCUAGGGUGAACACUCUCUUUGAGACUUCUAAAUUAAAGUCAAGUCUUUUGGAUUUUUGUUUCUUUGUACUGCCUAACUUUAGAAAGACCUGGAAGCGGUAACAUGAAAACAUUUUUAGAGAGAAUUACCAGGCAUUUUUGGUAGAAUGAGUGUUUAAUGGAACAGUCCAGAGAACUCAUCAAAGAUGUUUAUUAAAACGCGCAGACCUGCUCCAAUUAAGGGCCCAGUCAGUGGUGUUAACAGUGAAGGGACUGUUCCAGAGGCGUGCUGCACGGGACGCCCACCCCAAAUACAAAUGGUUUGCCAGUAGCUCACAAAUGAACCCCAUUGCCUUGCACUUAAGCUUCCUGAAGCACAUACAUAUCCUGCUUUGUGCUUUCCGCCCUAUAGUAAACGCAAACCAAUGGAGAUGUGAAGCAAUCUAAUAGCAACAAGGCAAACCUCUACUUCCUCUAAAGAGGAUUGCAUCCUCUUGCUAUCUUUGCCGAUGCUCUCCUACAGACCCAUCCCUGUCAUGUCUUUCCUGUCUUUCUAGUAGAAUUCUGGCUGCUCCCGUAGGACCUCCUUGCGGGAAUUUUCCCUGGUUGCUGCCUCCAAGGAGAGGCUCCCCACCAGAAAGUUUUAAGAGGCUUAUGCUUCUGGGGUUAAUGCGGUCCUUUCUGUCACCUUGUUUUCUGUUCCUAGUUAUCUUUCGGUAACUUUUUUCCUAAACUACUCUGAAAGGCAUAGACUGUCUCUUGAAAGCUCAUCUGUUCUUAACCCCUUUCCCUCAUUCCACUGACUGCAGCAUCUUCCACAUACCAUUCCCUCUUAGCAUUUAUGUCCAUGUCAUGCUUUUGUUGGUUUAUUUGUGUAUUUUCUGCUUCCCACCAUUAGAUCAUUUGUAGAAUUAAUGAAUGCCUAUGGGUUAAUAGAUUUUUCGCUGUAUCCUCUUUUCUCUGUAUCUCUCUGCCCAGUUGCUUAGAAAUGCUUCUGUUUGUGUAUUUGUAUCCACCUUCUUUGGGGAGAGUUAUGACCCUGGUCCUUAUGCCAUCAGUGGUAUUGCAAUUUUGUAUGUAGCAUGACCAUUUUUAAAAAUGACAUUUCAUAGUGAGUGAUUCAGACACCUAUCAUUCAGCUUACCUGCCGGGGCCCUCCAAAAUGAGCAGAAGGCCUCUGUCUCAUUCUAGAAGCUUGAAGGUCUCCACGUGGUUUGCCCAGGGGCCCACAACCUCCCUGCAGUCCAGGAGUGCUCCCAUUAACCCCAGCUGUGUGAUUCAGACCAGAUUCUUAGGACUUUUUAAGUGAAAUGGGACAGAAAAUUGCUUGAUGUAUUUUGCCACAUGAAGUACAUUUUGCUGCCGCUUAGUUCUUUAUUGUCGUUAGAUUAAAAACUCUCCUAACGUUGUGUGGGUAAGUAAAAAUCUUUUUAUUUUUAUCUGGUAUGUUUUGAAAAAAAGGAAAAAAGAAACUAGACAUUGUCAAAAUAUUUGCUUAAUCUUGCAGAUUUGGGAAGUUGUAUAGCCACUCGCUCUGACAGACCAGAACAAUGGUCAUUAAAUGAGAAGCAGAUGUAAUAAAGUAUGCAGUAAAAGCCUUCUAUUAUGGGCUGGAAGGGGAAAAAAAUGAGUUGUUAACAGAACACAGUAAGCAUUAUGGAAUAAAUCAGAACAAAACCAUUCCCAAUUACUGUACAAAGAUAAUUAAAGUCUACAAUGCUAAUUAAGGUCUGUUUAUAUCUAUUUCUGUUUGUGUACAAACAUAUGCGCAUAGUUAAAUAUUUUCCAUUGUUUUUUAUGUGAUGCUAACUUCAUAGUUGAAUUUUUCUGAAUUUAACUUUUGUUUUUAUGUUACCAGGAAGUACAAUCUCCAGAAAACUGAAACUCCAGCUUUUCCUCCUUGAUCGUAGCUUAUUUUUCUUGGCUAACUUCAGAAAAUUCUUCAAGCCAGGAGGCUUUCUAAGCUUACUCCUGAUGCAGUUAAAACUCAAAGGUUUCUGGAAGCCAAUGAAAAUCCUCACCUCUGACUGAAAUGGAAUUUCAAGGGAAAGAAAAUACAACGUAUUUUAUGAGGUCAGGUCUCCCAUAAGGUGUUAAAGGCAUUGUUCAGAGGUGCCACCUAGCAACUUCUCCCAGAACAAAAGAUUAGCCAUAGGUACUUCUUGUGUCUGGUUUUUGAGUUUAAAAUAGGAACAGGCAAAGGAUGCAUUUGGCAGCAUCCUUCAUCUAUUCCUGUUUAAACUUCUAUCAAUAAAAGUUUAGUUCUAUUAAUAAACAUGUCUCUUGACUUUGUUGUGAAAUAGAAUUGGUGAAGGCACAAAGUGGCUUAUUUUACUACUUAUGAGGCAGGCGUAUUAUAUAUGACAUAGACCAACUGGAAUUAUGGAUGGUAUUUCAUAAAAUAGUGUCAAAGAUUGCAGGCCAGGGAGACAGAAAGAAGUAUACUUGAUUUUCUUGAGAGUCACUUUGCACUUAAAUACCCAAAUACCGAAAGUUUAAACACAUUUUCAUGAUUCCUUUGUAUAAAAAGUGAACAGAAUGGCUACCGUUGUAAUUUUGCUGCUUCUAGCAAUUCACCAGCAAAAUACAUCCCAAAAUAGCAGAUAUACAAUGCAGCAUAUGCUUUGGUGAAUCUAAUAAUUUCGUGAACUCGUUCGCUGUUGGGCUGGUAAUCUACAUAGCUUUAACGGUGAACUUUAUAAAAUUCGGAGCCUCAUGCAUCAGAAGGUAAAAAACAAAAGUGGACAGUUUUAACAACGAUGGAUGAGUUGCUAGGGAAUAAAAUUAAAUGGUUGAUAAUAAUUGUGGUAGCUCACGAAGACUGAUGUUAUUUACAAAAGCUCCAUUUUGCAUGUAAUCAGAUGUCUAUUCCCAUGAGCUGGGUCAUAAUUCAUAUUCCACUUUAAUGUUCAUGGAAAAUGUGCUUCUCUCUGUGUACGUAUUAUUUUUAGGAUGUUAUGUUUCCUUGGUGCAUACACAAUGAGCCUGAAAUCCUUUAGGAAUGUGUUUAAUUUGAAAGUUUUAUCCUCUGGGCCUGGUUAAUUCAAAUACAUGGCUAGGAACAUUAUUGUAGGCCCUGAAAGAAUGUAGGCAUGGCAAAUUAUGUGCAUAAAGGCAACUCCAACCCAUGUUGCCAACGCUCAUUUGGUAAAAGGUAGUGAGGAGGAUUAUUUUUUCCUUCCAAACUUUUUUCUUCAUCCACUCAUUUAAUUUUUCUGCACUAAUUCUUUACGUUAAUAAGCUUGAUUUACACUGGACCAGAUUUCUUCUACUUUUAAACUCAGAACCGUGUCUGGUGGCUCUUUUGUAUUAAAAUCAUCAGCCCAGGGAGCUUUUACGAACUUAUGUCCUCAGUCCACAAGGUGUCCUGUGUUCACCCUUAUAUUCUCUUCUAUCCUUAGUCACAAAGACUGUCUGAGUCGCAUUUUCAUCUCUAGAAACUGGAAGAAGUUCUAAGAGUGUGAGGCUGCCACUGCUAGUUCCUGCAGUCAUCUCUCCGAUAUCAUGACUCAAGCCCUCCGGUCGUCUUGGCCACGUUCCCCCUGGUUUAUCCAUAUUCCACGUAAACUGUGUUCAUCAUACUGAAAACAGACCCCUGGAGGAAUUCUGAGGUCCAAGGAUUUGGGCAAGGUCAUUACCUCCUUUUUCCUGGACCAUCUUCUUCAAUUAAUGCAACCUAAGACUGCAAUAAGCUCUUUUACAGGUAUAUAAUUUUGUAUCAUUUGGAGCAUAUUCUUAGAAUUGUUUGGUGUUCUUUCCCCCAUGUAUGCAGCUGAUUUUUAAAAACAGAUCUGUGAUCUAUAGCAAGUUGCUCAAUCUCUUUAAGCCCCACAUUUUUGGUGAGUAAAAUAAUAAUAGCACAGACUUCAUGGCAUUGUGGUGGUGAACAGAUGAGCACCUACGCUUCUCAAUACAGCGUCUUCUACAUAAUAACUUCAAUAAAUAUGAACUAGUAUAAUUAUUGUGUUAUUGGAAAAUUAGAAAUUGCAGGUGAGCAAAAGGCCUUUCUUCCAAACAUUUUUUUUUGUGUAUUUCAAUGUAAUUAAUUUUUUUUACUUAAAAAUUUUGAAUUAAUAUCUCAACUUAUAAGAGCAGCUUUGUCAGUAUAUUUUAAAUGAUUCCCACAAUGCUGAUUUAGGCAUUUUACAUUUUGAUAUGCAUUUUUAGCUGGUUUUCAAAGUCACAAGGCUCUAAGGAAAAGAACUAAUCCUUAGUUGGCAGGAAAGUCCCUCCCCAAAUCCUUGGAUUAAAAUAGAAUCUGCCGCCAGGGCUUUCCUUGUCUUCUGUGAUUGAGAUCUGUCUCAGGUGGGAAGGCAUCCGGUACCUGUGCAUGGCAAGUUCAUUCUUUAGAGAUAGAAUGUGCAACUUUAAUAUUUAUUGAUAGGCACACUAAUUCUCUUGCUGAUGGUAAUUAAUGAGGUGCUUAUAUCUUAUUUUGCGGUAGUUUAACGAGCUUCGGGCUAUAGGAGAGAUCCGGUGCUUGCUGUAAAUGCUGAGAAUCAAAGAUGCUGGAGGAAAAUGCAGAAAAUGGAGCAGAAAAAAUAAGGUUUUAGCAGAUAAAAUAUCUCAGAUUAAAAACACUCUCAAAACAAACCUUGGUAAGGCAGAAGCAUUUAAAAAUCAGGGAGAGCUUGCCAGGGAGGAAAGUCGCAGGUUCCCUAUUCCUUGUUCCCUAAGCAUGCUGUUAAUUUUGACCACCCAUUUGUCUUUCUACCCCUUUGGCUUCGUCUGUGUUAGCAGUGUGAAGUGAAAAAUUGAUAGGAAAAUGUAUUUUUUUUCUUAAGGCUUAGAUAGUUACAGCCAAAACAUUUUGUCAUAUUGGGUUUUGAAUAAUUGUGUCAAAUCUACACUUAAUUUUGCCUUAGACAGCUAGCCUUAUGACCCUAGUUAACCUGUAUUUUCUCUUAUUCUUUCAUCCUUUGGAAAUGAGGUUCACAGAAUACAAAUUCAGAAGAGCAUAAAUUCUAACUCCUUAGAAGACAGGAAUAGAAGUCAAAGUGACCUCAAUAAAUCAAAAGCAAGUUGAAGUUCAAUAGGGACAAAUGUAAGGUAGGAUACUUAUGCCUAAUAGACGGACUCACAAUUUUAAAAUCAUCUGGGCAUGAUUGUGAUGGAAAAGUGUCUCUCUGUCAAGGACAUGAGGAAGCCACAUCCGCAGCCUUGUCUAAGGACCUACUAUGUGCCAGGCAUUUUGCAUAAGUCAGCUUGCUUACAAAUACACUGUAAUAAUCUCAACAGUAACUCUCAAAGCUGUGUAUAAUUUGUGCUCUCAUUUUAUAGAUGUGGAAGCUGAGGCCGAGAGAGGGUAAAUAAUUUGCUCAAAUGUUCACAGUUAGUGAUUUAACUGGUUUUGGAUCCUGCUGUAUCUACUUGACCAAGAGUACUUCAUUACAGAGCUGUUAUUUAAAAAGCCAACCCGGCCGGGUGCGGUGGCUCACGCCUGUGAUCCCAGCACUUUGGGAGGCCGAGGCGGGCAGAUCACAAUGUCAGGAGAUCGAGACCAUCCUGGCUAAUAUGAUGAAGCCCUGUCUCUACUAAAAAUACAAAAAAUUAGCCUGGCGUGGUGGCGGGCGCCUGUAGACGCAGCUACUCGGGAGGCUGAGGCAGGAUAAUGGCGUGAACCCGGGAGGCAGAGCUUGCAGUGAGCCGAAAUUGCGCCACUGCACUCCAGCCUGGGCAACCGAGCGAGACACCCUCCAAAAAAAAAAAAAAAAAAAAAAAGCCAACCCAGUUCUUGGCUAUAGUAACUGAGACUUUACUUGAGAACCAGAUAAUAACCUUUCCAGUAUACUAUACAUUAAUUAAAAUUUAAAAGAAAAAUGAAUAGGAGAAACUGGAGCAAGUCCAAAAAUACCCCACCCAACAACAAAGGCAACAAGAGAAAUUUUUUAAAUUGGCCUAAUAGGUAACAGGCUCAAGGUGUUUGGGAUUGCUUAGCUAGGAAGAAUGCAGCUACAGGGUGAGCGACACACUAAUCCUGUAGACAUCUAAAAGGCAAUAAUAAAGAUUCACAUUUUACAUCAGUAUUUGCAGGUAACAAAGCACUUCCCUGUCAGUUGUCUUACUGGUUUCUCACAGCAGUCAUCCGGAGCAGAAGUCAGCAAACUUUUCUGUAAAGGGCUAGAUAGUUAAAUAUGUUUGGCUUUAUGGGCCAUGCGGUCUCUGUCACAACUCCGCAACAAAAGCAGCCAGAGGCAGUUCAUAAACAAAUGGGCAUGACUGUGAUCCAAUAAAACUCUAUUUACAAGAAGAUGUGACGAGCUGGAUUUGGUUCUCAAGCUGUGGUUAUGUGAAUACAUAUUAUCGUUUCCAUUAUUCAGAUGAGAAAAUUGAGGCUCAGAAAAGUAAAGUGACUUAUCCUAUGCAACUGAAUGAAUAAACAAUGUGUCUGGAACGAGAAUUCACUUUCUGUGGUUAUAGUUUGGUGCUCCAUGAAGUAAAUUGAAGACAUGUACCCAGAAAGAUUUCAGGGAAGUUUGUCAUCCCAAGAUACCAUUUGCCUGUGAUUGUAAUUAAAAUUGGGAGCAGAUGAAUCAAGAAGUUAGAUGAGGCUGGGAGCGCGGUGGCUCACACCUAUAAUCCCAGCAUUUUGGGAGGCCAAGGCAGGCGGAUCACUUGAGCUGAGGAGUUCA